Molecule: long non-coding RNA, 6742 nt
Organism: Cavia porcellus (domestic guinea pig)
Lineage: Eukaryota; Metazoa; Chordata; Mammalia; Rodentia; Caviidae
Exons: 3
Source: RefSeq, a predicted model, not a curated record
AUGGUUUCUAUUUCUUUUGUUCAAUCUGGCUAGGAUUUCUGGUACUAUACUGAACAGAAGUAGUUUUGUUCCUUCCUUGUAUUGUUCCUAAUCUAGGGGACAACUUUUUUUUUUUUUUUUUUUUUUUUUUUUUGUCUUUUUCAUUUUUAUCGGUACCAGGGAUCGAACUCACGACUGCCUGCUUACAAAGCAGGCGCUCAUGCCACUGAGCUAAAUCCCCAGCCCCCUAGGGGAAAACUUUUUAGUGUUUUAUUUUUGAGUAGGAGGUCAGCAGUGGUUUUUUUGUAUGUGGGCUUUACUAUGCUGAGAAAAUUUUCUUCUACUUCUAGUGUUUCUUUUUUAAAUAGAGAAAAGGUUUUGGCUUUUGUCAAAUAUUUUAUCUGCAUCUGUUGAGGUGAGUAUUUUGUUUUAUCCUUCAUUAUUUUAAUGUGUAUCACACUGAUUUUUCAUAGGUUACGAUGUCUUUCUUCCUUGAGAUAAACUUAUUCAUUUAUUUAUUCGCACUGGGGAUCAAACUCAUGGCCUUGUGCUUGUGUACAGGCAGGUGCUUGUGCUGCUGAGAUAAGUUCCCAGCCUGAGAGAAUGAGGUUUUUAAAUAGGCUGUUGAAUUCAAUUUGCUACUAUUUUGUGGAAUUAUUCUAUAUCACUGAUACUACAGAUAUUAAUCUUUUCUUUUUUUCAUAUUCUUCCUGGUUUUUGUAUCAGAAUUUUAUCAGAUUUAUAGCAUUAGUUUGAAGGUAUUCCUAUUGUUAAUUUUUUGGAAAUACUUGAUGAUUGAUAGUAAUUCUUGAAAUGUUUCACAAAAUACUGUGAAAUGUGGCUAUCCAGUGCCGGACAUUUUUUCUUGGGAGUUUUUUGAUUAUGAAUUCUAUCUGCCUAGUUAUAAGUUUGUUCAUAUAUUCAGUUUCUUCAUGAUUAAGUAUUAGUGGUUUGUAUUUUUCAAGGAUUAAUUUCUUUUAGAUUACCCAUUUUACUCAUAUGCCUCUUAAAUUUCUUGUUUCUGUGGUAUCACUUGCAACAUUAUCAUUUUUAUCUCUGACUUUAGUUGGGUCUUUUCUAUUUUAUUAGUCUCCUUAAAGAACUUUCAUAUAAUAGAAGUCAGUAGUAUUACUACAAAUAGUUCUUAUAAAACCAAAACCAAAACCAAAAAAAAACUAAACUCAAGUUUAACUAAGCCUGAAAAGUUAACUUUAUUUACUGAUACUAUAUUUAGAAAGAAAUAAUUUAAACAUCAGGAGAAAGUAGGUACAUUUGAAAAGUUGAGAUAAUCUUUUGCAUAAUUGAUUUAGUUUCUGCUACUUUUCAACAAUAAGCAGAGAAAAAACAAGACAGGACUGCCUUCAGUCUAAAAGACAUGAAAUUCACAGUGGUGUGUAUGAAUUUUAGAUAAUUAUUUGGAUCAUUAAUUAUAAAACAACACCCUUUAGUCAACUGGGAAAAUUUGAUUAUUGUAUGAUAUAUACAAAGAAUUGUUAAUUUUGUUAGAUAUUUAAAUAGUUUUGUGGAGUUGUAAGGAAACUAGAGAUACACAGUGAAUGAUAACAAGAUAACACGUUAUAAAAUGGGUUUAAAUUUUUUUUGCUUAAAAAUAUUUUAGCAAAGAAAUCUGGUAAAACACAAAUAGCAAUAAAUUCAACAAGAGGUAUGUAUGUUUGAUAGCUGUGAACUCGGGUUGGUCUAUGUGUUGUUUUCUUCAUUUUAAUGUAUGAUUCAAAUUUAAAACAUUUUAAAUGUAGUGAAUAUUUCUAUUACUUGUGUUGGUUGGUAAGGACUUUCAAAACUGACAAAUAUAGAAAACACAAAGAAAAAUCUAAAGAUAUAAUCACACAGACCAGAUGAAAUCGGGUGCAUUCAGGUCGGUAUGGCCAUGAUAUAAUCACAUAGAAGCUGAAAGUUUUAUAAUGAAAAAUAAGCAUUAAAAAGCUAUACUUGGACAUGAUUUGUAACAUAAAGAUAGAAAAAUAUUCUUUGUUAUAACAUUUUUAAAUGCGAAAAUGACAAGUAGGAAAGAUGAGAAUAGAAAAAAUUGCCAAUAUAGGCCCCAUUCUAUUUUAAAAAUUUACCAAAGAAGGAAAUGAAAUAGCAUUAUUUAUCAAUGAAAGAUAAUUUUUUAGAAAUGAUUUUUUUAAAAGGGGGUAAGAAUAAUUCUAGGCUUUCUCAUACUUACUGCCUCAAAAUUUAUGUUCCUCAGAGGAGUCAUAUUUCUAAACAUUUUCAACCUCCAAAAUCUUAGCUUAAAAAAAUCUGCACAAAUUUGUUGGAAGAGAGUUUUUCAUUAUUGUUUUAAUGUGCAUUCCCGUAAUUACCACAGCAUUUUGCAUUUAUUUAUGUUUACAGACUACUUGGUAUCAUUUUAUAAAGAGCUUUUUCAUUUCAUUUAUUUUUUCCUAUUGGAGUUUUCACUAUUUCUAAUGUGUUUGUUAGGGACUUUUACUACCUUAAUUCUAUUUCUGUUCAUAUAUUUUUCAUGGAUUUCCUGUAUUUCUUUAAGUGUGUUUCCACAAUGAGCUUUUGAUAUGCAUAUUGUUAUAUUCAGUGGUUACAAGGAGAACAAUUAUACGCAUAGAAUGUAUAUUAUUAUUUUCUGAUGGUCACCCAGAGUUAAAUACAAGAAAGUGCAGGAAAUCUGUCCACAACACUAAAGACCUAGAAAAUCCAGCCAAUGGCGGUCUGGAUUCCACAGCAAUGUCCUGUAUCAGUUCAGAUGGAAACCUAGAGCCCGUGACAACGCCUCCCAUGAGUCUAACUGGAGGUCUAGAGCCCAUGAGGACUCACGAAAGUCUGUUUUAUGGAUCCAUGCUGGGAAGGUCCAAAGAUCAGCAGCGUAAGCCAGAAAAUCUGUGCUAGCAGAAUGAAGGAUCUGUGUCACCAAGCUGAGGGAUUUGCACUAGAGCCAAGAAGUGACUCUUAAAGUAAGCACCAGGGCUUUCCUAAAAAGCACCACAGCCAUCCUCAGUAACAAAGGUCCUGAGCUCCACCAAUGAUGGGAACAGUUGAGUACGUGUCAGGAGGCCAGUGUGACAACUUUUCUUGGAAAUUAAAUAGCACACAUCUUCCCUUCCAGAACGAGGAAGUGAUGCUCCAAGUAAGAACCAGGGCUCCUCUGAAGUGAACCAUAGCCAUUUUCAACAACAAGGUCCUGAGCUCCUCCGAUGACAAAUGGUUGAAUUCCUAUUGUGGAAGCCAGCAUGACAGGUUCUUCCAGGAGGACUAAUGGUUCCAAACAACAACACUUAGGAGCACUUAACAACCCUGCCCUUCCUUUCUCUGUCUUUUGUGCUGGCAACUUUCCUCAGUUAUGAGACCUGUAUAGUUUAACUUUCAUUGGGUACAUAUAUUCUUGAAGGAAGAAAAUAUGUGGAAAACCUGAGAAAGGCUGAUGUAUAACAUUUAGCAUGCACUAAUGGAGAAGUUUGAAGAUCGCCCUUCCACUCUGCUCCAGUGAGAAAUGCAAGAAAACUUCUUCACUGAAAGAAAAUUAAUGAGGCCCUAUAAUGAUACAAGAGACAAAGAACAAAGACCACGGUCUGUCUGUCAAGAGGUGCUUGAUGAAUCUUUAAGGCACCCAGAAGCAGGGAUUUCACUCAUAACGAAACUCACUUAGUAGGCUGCAUUCGCACUGAGGCAGCAAGAAGUUGCAACAGAGUUCAGCUGUUCAUGCCCUAUCACCUGUUGGUUGCUUAUGACAUCCUGAUCGAGUUCCAUAACACUGUGAUGAGAGAUGAAACCCUGGAAAUGGAAUAGAAGCGGUUCUUUCUGAUUUGAAAUGCAUCAUAUAAGUGGAAAGGAAGAAAGACUGGUAAGGACAACGUAGCCUAUCAACGUUACAACAGUGAUUUAAACCAUGUUCUUAAAGGUCACUAAAGAAAUACAAAAAGAGAGAGCUUCUAAGUCAAACAUCCAAUUUUAAGUACCAAUGAUUUCUGUAAUCAAAUAUCUUAAAUAUAUAUAUAUGUAUAUAUAUAUAUAUAUACAUAUUUAUAUGAUAGCUUGUAUAGUUUUUCACAACUGGAAAAAUGUAUUUUAUCAGAUAUAUUUCCCAUGAAUUAUUUUUUAAAAUCAUAUUAUUUUUUGGCAAAUAUGUACCAGAACAGCAAUGAGUCAAAUUCUGUUACAUCUUUGCAAUCUCACUCUCCCAAUCUUAGCUUAAGCCACCUCUAGUCUGAUUUUUGCCAUUCUCAAAUGUCAGAUAAAUAGAAGUAUGUGAAUAUUUAGUUUUCUGUCUUUUGUACCUUUCACAUAGUAUAAUAACUUUGUGAUUCAUCCAUGUUGCUGCAUGUACUUAUAAUCUGUUAUUUUUUAUUGCUGAAUAGUAUUUUAUACUUAAUAUUCACAAUUCAUUUAUCCAUUUGCCAGUCACUGAAAUAUUUGAAGUGUUUUUCAGUUUUGGGUAAAACUUCCAAAAUCAUUGGAAUAUGUACGGCUUUGAGUAAAGGGCAGUAAUGAACACAGUUUUAUAUGCUUAUAAUUCAUAUAUUUUCUUUCAUCAAUAUAGAAAAAAACUUGGGCCAUUUACAAAAAUUUACUUGCUUUAUUUUAUUUGGUUUUAAGAGUUUGUCAUGGUUUAUAUCUAGAUGUCUCUCCAAAGCCCCACGGGCUCAUAGAUGGAGCUUCUGCGGGUGAUUGAAUCGUGCAUGUGUGAUGCUGGAUCAUGAGUGUGUGAUACUGAAUUACUCCACUGGUGGGACUUUAACUGGGUGUGACUUUGAGGGGCAAAGCCUGGUGGGAAGAGGUGGGUCAGAGUGGGGAUGAUCUGGAAGGAUUUACACAGGUGUAAAUAUUCUUCCUCUUUCUUUAACAGUGCUUACCUGCUUCCUGCCUUUCACGCCAUGGAUUCUUGCCUCUCUGCGCUGCCACUCUGCCUUGGAGCUAGCUGACUAUUGCCUGAAACCUCUAAAAACUGUGGGCUAAAUAAGCCUCUCUUUUAACUUGUGGAUGCUGAGUAUCUUUGUCCAGCAACAAAAAGUAAUUAAGACAGUUUUUUGAGUAUUCCGGAUACAAACUGUUCAGCAGAUUUUAUUUUGCAAAUAGUUUCUCUGAGAUUAUUGCUUGAAUUUUUUCCCAUUAUUUCAGUUAUUUCAAAGUUCAGAAGAUUUCAAUUUUCUGAAAAGUACAAUUUAUUAAUUUCUGCUUUUAUAUGUCAUUUUUGUGACUUAUAAAAAAUAGUUGUUUAUCCAGUCUCACAGAGACUUUCUCUUAUAUAUUUGUUUUACCUACCUUAAGCUCUGCUUUAUAUCUGAAUUGCAUUCUGUGCCCAAAGGUAUUUAUUUUGCUUUCUCCUCUUAGAAGGGCAACUAUUUUUUUUGUUUUAAUUUGUCUUGUAUCAUCAAUCAAUUUGUCUUAUAUCAUCAAUCUAUUGAUAAAGUAAGAAAAAUUUAUGAUUUUGUAAAUCAUCUAGAUGUUUUAUAUUUUGAGAGUGCGAGUGGCAUUCUAUUGGAUCCCACAUUUUACCUUCAAGUAGAAUUCUCAUGAGAAAUAUUUUAUUUUAUUUUUUAUUUUAAAAAAGUUUUUUGGUGCCUUGUGUUUGCCACAUAGGCACUUGUACCACUGAGCUAUUUCCCCAACCAAGAGAAAUAUUUUAAAAUCUGGGGAAAUUCCUGAUGAAUUUAAUAGCCAUUUCCAAAUCUGGAAAAUACUGAAUGUAUAAAAUUAUAUAUACAAUAGAGUCUGGUUUGGUUACUUUCUCAUUACUGGAGACCCAUAAUUUACAUUAGGAAAGAUUUCUUUUGAAUCAAUUUGUAGAGAUUUCAGCUGUAGUCAGCUGGCUGUGAGGUGGAGCAGCAUGACAAGGGGGCAUGGCAGGAGAGCUUGCAGCAUGGCAGGCAGGAAGCAGAACGGGACAGAUGAGGAAGAGGAAUAUCAUACCCUCCAGGCCAGCCCACAGCGACCCACCUCUUCCCACUAGGCUUCAGCUCUCAGCAUCACACCCAGUCAUAAACUCAGCAGUGGACUAGUUCACUGUCCACUCAUAAGUAACAUGGCCCCCAUGGUCCAGUCACUGCCCCAACUCUUACCUUUGAAGGCAUGAAACUUUGGAGGAUGUUUUAGAGGUGUGACCUCAAGACCUUCCUCUGGUUGGGGGAGGUACUAAAAAGUUGUUUAGUUCCGUUCCCUUCCUGUCCUACUUCUCAAAUCCCCUAUUCAUUUUUCGAGGAAUAGAAAAAGCAGUCACUUUUGUAUAAAUCUUUAGAGUCUUCAUCUAUACAACCCAACCAAAAGCAUAAAUCAAAACUAAAAUAGAAAAGCACAAAAAUAUUAGCUGAGUACAUAGACUAGAAAUUUAUCCAUAAACAAUUUUACUGUGUAUCGGAAGGAUAGCCCUUGCAUAUUCAUUUACUCCUCCACUCCUCCUUCCCUUCUCUUCACCUCUUCACUCUCCCCCAGACCAGACUCCUCCUCUUUACUGCUGUCAGCUAAGACCCAAAGGCCACUUUCUCCCAUUGCUGUGUUCACUAAAACAUCAGCCCCUCUGGAAGAUGUGCUGUUAGAAAAUGACCAUUUAAUAUGUUUAUUUCUAUGUAUGUAACAGGGCACUGAAUUUUCAGGGACUGGCCAAACAUUUUUUCAUCAUAGGAAAACACCCUUUAAAACAAAAGGCUAAAUAUGACUGUUCCUCAUAUCUAAGGAAGACUUCACAAGGUUUGUCUUCUUGAGGCACUGCUUAAUUCAAGACAGGAUUUGUUUUCCAGUCCAAAUUAUGCAAUUUAUAUCUUAUUUUAAUAAAAUUGUGUUCACUUCUCUA